Molecule: ribosomal RNA, 199 nt
Filed under: Streptococcus agalactiae
Lineage: Bacteria; Bacillati; Bacillota; Bacilli; Lactobacillales; Streptococcaceae
Description: partial 16S ribosomal RNA
Rfam family: Bacterial small subunit ribosomal RNA
Source: RNAcentral
UUUAAUGAGAGUUUGAUCCUGGCUCAGGACGAACGCUGGCGGCGUGCCUAAUACAUGCAAGUAGAACGCUGAUGUUUGGUGUUUACACUAGACUGAUGAGUUGCGAACGGGUGAGUAACGCGUAGGUAACCUGCCUCAUAGCGGGGGAUAACUAUUGGAAACGAUAGCUAAUACCGCAUAAGAGUGAUUAACACAUGUU